GAGUGGCGUCCGGGUGCGUGACACGUCGGUGACCUACCCAUUUGUGGGGAAUACCCUGCCGAAAGGUGGGCUAAUACCGCAUACGAUCCCUUCGUCGCAGAAGGGAUGAAAGCUCGCAAGGGCGCUGAUGGAGGGGCCGGCGGCCUAUCAGCUAGUUGGUGGGGUAAAGGCCUACCAAGGCAACGACGGGGAGCCGAUCUGAGAGGAUGAACGGCCACAGUGGGACUGAGAUAUGGUCCACAACCCUACGGGGUUUAGCAUGGAGGAAUCUUGCGCAACAUCCGACAGGAUGGCGCAGCAACGCCGCGUGGGGGAUGAAGCCGUUUGCGGUGUAAACCCCUGUUGCUCGGGAAGAAGUACCGUCGGGGAGAGCCUGACGGGAAGACGGUACCGGGCGAGGAAGCCCCGGCUAACUACGUGCCAGCAGCCGCGGUAAGACGUAGGGGGCGAGCGUUAUCCGGAUUUAUUGGGCGUAAAGCGCGCGCAGGCGGACCGCAGCAGUGGCGUGUGGAAUCUCCCGGCUCACCCGGGAGGGGUCAUGCCAGACGGGCGGUCUUGAGGCAAACAGUGGGUCGCGGAACGGGCAGAGUAGGGGUGAAAUCCGUAGAGACUGUCCGGAACACCAGAGGCGAAGGCGGCGACCUAGGUUU
Molecule: ribosomal RNA, 650 nt
Filed under: uncultured bacterium
Lineage: Bacteria
Description: bacterial SSU rRNA
Rfam family: Bacterial small subunit ribosomal RNA
Source: RNAcentral